Molecule: ribosomal RNA, 200 nt
Filed under: uncultured bacterium
Lineage: Bacteria
Description: partial 16S ribosomal RNA
Rfam family: Bacterial small subunit ribosomal RNA
Source: RNAcentral
UAGCGAAGGGGGCUAGCGUUGCUCGGAAUUACUGGGCGUAAAGCGCGCGUAGGUGGUUCGUUAAGUUGGAUCGUGAAAUCCCCGGGCUCAACCUGGGACUGCAUUGUGACUGCAUCGCUGGAGUGCGGCAGAGGGGGAUGGAAUUCCGCGUGUAGCAGUGAAAUGCGUAGAUAUGCGGAGGAACACCGAUGGCGAAGGCA